This 90-nucleotide transfer RNA is filed under the name Ovis aries (sheep). It matches the Rfam family "tRNA". From Rfam's summary of the family: Transfer RNA (tRNA) molecules are approximately 80 nucleotides in length. Their secondary structure includes four short double-helical elements and three loops (D, anti-codon, and T loops). The record is from Rfam by way of RNAcentral. Lineage: Eukaryota; Metazoa; Chordata; Mammalia; Artiodactyla; Bovidae.
CCUUCGAUAGCUCAGCAGGUAGAGCAGAGGACUGUAGACUUGAUAGAUGUGGGCAUCCUUAAGUUGCUGGUUUGAUUCUGGAUCAAAGGA